UGGAACGCACAUUGCGCCCUCUGGUAUUCCGGAGGCAUGCCUGUUUGAGCGUCGUC
This 56-nucleotide ribosomal RNA is filed under the name uncultured soil eukaryote. Its description in RNAcentral is "partial 5.8S ribosomal RNA". The record is from RNAcentral.